GACGAACGCUGGCGGCGUGCUUAACACAUGCAAGUCGAACGAAGUGGCGAACGGGUGAGUAACGCGUAAUCAACCUGCCCUUCAGAGGGGGACAACAGUUGGAAACGACUGCUAAUACCGCAUACUGAAGGAGGGGAUUGCGUCUGAUUAGCUCGUUGGCGGGGUAACGGCCCACCAAGGCGAAGAUCAGUAGCCGGUCUGAGAGGAUGAACGGCCACAAUUGGACCGGGACACGGGCCAGACUUCUACGGGAGGGAACAGUGGGGAAACUUCCGCAAUGGACGAAAGGCUGGCGGAGCAACGCCGCGUGGGUGAUUACGGCCUUCGGGUUGUAAAGCUCUGUUAAGCGGGACGCGGUACCGGAAUAGAAAGCCACGGCUAACUACGUGCCAGCCGCCGCGGUAAUAC
This 408-nucleotide ribosomal RNA is filed under the name uncultured bacterium. RNAcentral describes it as "partial 16S ribosomal RNA". It matches the Rfam family "Bacterial small subunit ribosomal RNA", at positions 28 to 526 of the family's 1533-position model. The record is from RNAcentral.